ACUUUAUGGUGAGGGCAUUUAUGCAAGAGGUUCCUAAAACGCUCCCAUGUCUCGAAAAAUAGCUCCCUAUCCAAUUGAGAGAAACUAGUGAUGACCUUCCUCAGCU
Small nucleolar RNA from Malania oleifera, 106 nucleotides. The record is from RefSeq and is a predicted model, not a curated record. NCBI's taxonomy places the organism in Eukaryota, Viridiplantae, Streptophyta, Magnoliopsida, Santalales, Ximeniaceae.